Molecule: transfer RNA, 74 nt
Filed under: Yersinia pestis
Lineage: Bacteria; Pseudomonadati; Pseudomonadota; Gammaproteobacteria; Enterobacterales; Yersiniaceae
Description: tRNA-OTHER
Rfam family: tRNA
About the family: Transfer RNA (tRNA) molecules are approximately 80 nucleotides in length. Their secondary structure includes four short double-helical elements and three loops (D, anti-codon, and T loops). Further hydrogen bonds mediate the characteristic L-shaped molecular structure. tRNAs have two regions of fundamental functional importance: the anti-codon, which is responsible for specific mRNA codon recognition, and the 3' end, to which the tRNAs corresponding amino acid is attached (by aminoacyl-tRNA synthetases). tRNAs cope with the degeneracy of the genetic code in two manners: having more than one tRNA (with a specific anti-codon) for a particular amino acid; and 'wobble' base-pairing, i.e. permitting non-standard base-pairing at the 3rd anti-codon position.
Source: RNAcentral
AGGGGCGUAGUUCAUUGGUAGAGCACCGGUCUCCAAACCGGGUGUUGGGAGUUCGAGUCUCUCCGCCCCUGCCA